GGGUCUCAGAGAAGCCAACAUCUAAGCCUUCAAACCAAUUCCAUGUCAAAGGGAGAGAGACUGUCCACUUUCAAGUGGUGUCGCCCCAGCCAUGUCAUCGCUUUCUUUCCAGCAAGAAUAAGAUACUCAUGGGACUUCGUAGAAGACAGCCUCCCACGAUUCUGCAUAAUUAUUUCCUACAAAGUAGGCUUACAUCAGCUGCCUGCAGAGUCAGAGGUGAAAGACUGUACAAGGGCCAUCUGGCCAUCUGUGUGCUGGACAGCCAGAGGAUUCAGUCAAAACUCGAAGACCUGGAGCUCACUACAAUACCGUGUGAGUCUGUAUGGGGAACUGAAAUGUCUACAUUGGAAGAUUAAAAUCUGCUCUGGAAAUCUGGAGACAGGUGUCCAAAGGUGAUGGUGAAGACUGGAGCUCUUCUGAAGAAGCAAAGCAAGACUUCCUUCCUUCCCUUUUUACUCCAUCCAGGCUACAAACCUAUUAGUUGGUGCCACCCAGAUCCAGAGUGGGUCUUGUAAGACCGAGGGCCUUACCAAAUGCUCCAAGGAGCUGACUACAGAGAAGAUCACCCGGGAGGAAACACACCGGACAGAAUUGAGAUGGUAAAAAAACAGACCUUUAUUAGUCUAGCCAGAUGGCACCCUCUAAGCAACAAGCUUAGAGAGGCCCUGAGCUCACGGGGUUGGAAGGUUUUAUAGGGGCUGCAGGGGAGCUUAGCAAGCAGAACUACAGAAGUGGAAUUUUUGCAGUUAGGGGAGUUUGCAGAUGUUCUUUACUUAUCUAACAGGAUGUUCUUUACACAGAAACAAUGGUACAUUCCAGGGUGUCUUAACAGAUAAACAAGUACAUUCCAGGAACUCUGUGUCCUUUAGUGAACCCGAAACCCACAGGGACAAGAUGGAGGGCCUGUAACAAGAUGGCGUUACUUGUGCUAAGUCUCACCUGGGUCUUACAGUCUUCCCUCUUCAGUAAAGCAAUCUCCAGACACACACGGAACUGUGCUAACCUAAUCUGCUAGGCAUUUCUUAUUCAAGUUAGCACCACAAUUAACUAUCACAGAUUUGUCCCAUUAGGUUCUAACAUAGAAGGUGCAGAAGACAGGCCCAGAGUGGGAGACAGAGAGGUCACACUGAUCUUGAGGAUGAAAAAGAAAAAGGCUGGGAAGAAUACCUGCCUUGACUCUCUUCCUUGAACCUUCUCAUAGUUUAGUGGCUCUCAAUCUCUCUCUGUCCAGACCUCAGUCUUUCUCACUAGUUAAUUAUAUUUUCCCCUGAAGUAUAGUUAACAUGAUUUCCAUGAGUACACAUCAGGGGUAUAACUGAUGACUUGGCCUGUUUGAUCAAAAGAAAUACGUCUUCCUCUUCUCUCUUUCUUGUCAGCCUCUUAGUCCACAUGAAUCAGGCACUUAUUAGAUGUAAAAGACCUUACAGCCUCACAUGUACUAACUCACUGAAUCCUCACAUUACCCCUAUGAGGUGUGUUCUUUGGUUACCUCAUUGGACAGGUGAGUAAACUGAACAGAGAGCCCAUGGCAGUAUUUCCUGAGAGACACAAGGCAGGAGUGUGAGUGGUCAAGGAGUCCUCUAUCUUCUUAUACACAUCAGGAAAUGAAGUGCAGUGAACUUAUCUCUUUGAAUAUGCCUAUAUUUUAUGCACAUGGUCUUUUUUUAAAAUCUUGAGAGUUUUAAUACAUAUGACAUGCAACAUUUAAAUCAUGCAAAUGAGACUAUAUGUUGACACUGACCAUCCCCUGGGGCAUUUAGCUGCUUAUUCCUGUGCCUUAGUGUAAAUUUUUAUGACCUUGG
Long non-coding RNA from Heterocephalus glaber (naked mole-rat), 1802 nucleotides. The record is from Ensembl. Lineage: Eukaryota; Metazoa; Chordata; Mammalia; Rodentia; Bathyergidae.